GUGGACCAACGUUAUUUUGUGCCGUCAAGUUGGUUGUUAUAAAGAAUAAGAGCAAUAUAUAUGGCCCUGUGCAUGAAUACUGUUGCAGUGGAAGACUGGCGAACAUCAUACUGUUGUACAGUUUUGCAAGGGGUGAGCAAAAGAAAGCUGUUGUACCUCUGAUAUGCCUGAGUACUGUAUGAUAUAUUCCCGCACUAUGUCAAAGUAAAUCACUUACUGAGCCCAGACAUGGUAUCAUCAAAGCUCCGGAAUGUUGUCAAG
RNAcentral lists this unclassified non-coding RNA (261 nucleotides) under Hevea brasiliensis (rubber tree). Lineage: Eukaryota; Viridiplantae; Streptophyta; Magnoliopsida; Malpighiales; Euphorbiaceae. The record is from RNAcentral.